RNAcentral lists this ribosomal RNA (378 nucleotides) under Ferruginibacter sp. RNAcentral's name for it is "bacterial SSU rRNA". It matches the Rfam family "Bacterial small subunit ribosomal RNA", at positions 391 to 764 of the family's 1533-position model. Lineage: Bacteria; Pseudomonadati; Bacteroidota; Chitinophagia; Chitinophagales; Chitinophagaceae. The record is from RNAcentral.
GCCAUGCCGCGUGAAGGAUAGAAGGCCCUCNUGGGUUGUAAACUUCUUUUAUCUGGGACGAAAAAAGGGUAUUCUUACUCACUUGACGGGACCAGAGGAAUAAGCACCGGCUAACUCCGUGCCAGCAGCCGCGGUAAUACGGAGGGUGCAAGCGUUAUCCGGAUUCACUGGGUUUAAAGGGAGCGUAGGUGGGCUGAUAAGUCAGUGGUGAAAUCUCCGGGCUUAACCCGGAAACUGCCAUUGAUACUAUCAGUCUUGAAUUAUCUGGAGGUAAGCGGAAUAUGUCAUGUAGCGGUGAAAUGCUUAGAUAUGACAUAAAACACCAAUUGCGAAGGCAGCUUGCUACGGAUUGAUUGACACUGAGGCUCGAAAGCGUGC